This 253-nucleotide ribosomal RNA is filed under the name uncultured bacterium. RNAcentral describes it as "partial 16S ribosomal RNA". It matches the Rfam family "Bacterial small subunit ribosomal RNA", at positions 524 to 776 of the family's 1533-position model. The record is from RNAcentral.
UACGAAGGGGGCUAGCGUUGCUCGGAAUCACUGGGCGUAAAGGGCACGUAGGCGGCUUCUUAAGUCAGGGGUGAAAUCCUGGAGCUCAACUCCAGAACUGCCUUUGAUACUGAGGAGCUUGAGUCCGGGAGAGGUGAGUGGAACUGCGAGUGUAGAGGUGAAAUUCGUAGAUAUUCGCAAGAACACCAGUGGCGAAGGCGGCUCACUGGCCCGGUACUGACGCUGAGGUGCGAAAGCGUGGGGAGCAAACAGG